AUCAGCCCGCUCCCGGUAAAACGGGACGGCCCGCCAGAGGACCCCUAAACUCUGUUUCUAUAUGUAACUUCUGAGUAAAACCAUAAAUAAAUCAAAACUUUCAACAACGGAUCUCUUGGUUCUGGCAUCGAUGAAGAACGCAGCAAAAUGCGAUAAGUAAUGUGAAUUGCAGAAUUCAGUGAAUCAUCGAAUCUUUGAACGCACAUUGCGCCCGCCAGUAUUCUGGCGGCAUGCCUGUUCGAGCGUCAUUUCAACCCUCAAGCCCAGCUUGGUGUUGGGACUCGCGAGUCAAAUCGCGUUCCCCAAAUUGAUUGGCGGUCACGUCGAGCUUCCAUAGCGUAGUAGUAAAACCCUCGUUACUGGUAAUCGUCGCGGCCACGCCGUUAAACCCCAACUUCUGAAUGUUGACCUCGGAUCAGGUAGGAAUACCCGCUGAACUUAAGCAUA
This 447-nucleotide ribosomal RNA is filed under the name Fusarium fujikuroi. Its description in RNAcentral is "eukaryotic LSU rRNA". The stretch from base 96 to 248 matches the Rfam family "5.8S ribosomal RNA". Lineage: Eukaryota; Fungi; Ascomycota; Sordariomycetes; Hypocreales; Nectriaceae. The record is from RNAcentral.